GAUGAACGCUGGCGGCGUGCCUAAUACAUGCAAGUCGAGCGAACAGAUAAGGAGCUUGCUCCUUUGACGUUAGCGGCGGACGGGUGAGUAACACGUGGAUAACCUACCUAUAAGACUGGGAUAACUUCGGGAAACCGGAGCUAAUACCGGAUAACAUAUUGAACCGCAUGGUUCAAUAGUGAAAGGCGGCUUUGCUGUCACUUAUAGAUGGAUCCGCGCCGUAUUAGCUAGUUGGUAAGGUAACGGCUUACCAAGGCAACGAUACGUAGCCGACCUGAGAGGGUGAUCGGCCACACUGGAACUGACACACGGUCCAGACUCCUACGGGAGGCAGCAGUAGGGAAUCUUCCGCAAUGGGCGAAAGCCUGACGGAGCAACGCCGCGUGAGUGAUGAAGGUCUUCGGAUCGUAAAACUCUGUUAUCAGGGAAGAACAAAUGUGUAAGUAACUGUGCACAUCUUGACGGUACCUGAUCAGAAAGCCACGGCUAACUACGUG
RNAcentral lists this ribosomal RNA (497 nucleotides) under uncultured bacterium. RNAcentral's name for it is "partial 16S ribosomal RNA". It matches the Rfam family "Bacterial small subunit ribosomal RNA", at positions 28 to 507 of the family's 1533-position model. The record is from RNAcentral.